UGAACGGCUUAAUGCAACAAAUGGCCUGCCCGUGAGCCACACCUGCUUUCUGAGCUCCGCAGGGGAGAUGGUUUCUUUUUUCUUGCUUUUCUUCUGUGGCCCCUCGAGGGCCUUGGGAUGGUUUUCCUCCUUCAGUUUGGACGGCAAGACUCCCUCUUUCAAAUUAUUUUAAAAAAAAUUUUCUACACAUUUCUCCAGUUCUUUGGGGAGCAUAUGGUUUCCAGAUAAUCUGGUGCCAGACAGCCUUCAGCAGGAAAACAUUUUGUGCUAACUGUUCUAUUUUGGUUUUGAGUCCUCUUCCUCUCCCCCCAGCAGACAUAAAUCGUAUGUAAAUCUCUGCCAGGAGGACAACCUCAUGAAACAGAAGCAGAAAGACAGCUGAGCAGCGGCUGGAAUGGGGUGUGCAUGGUGGACAGAGGAGCAAGAUUCAGAUGCCUCAGGAUGUGCCCUGCCCCUCCGAUGUCACAGGGGCCACCAGGCCAGGGAGAUUUGUGCCAACAGGAAGACUGGUCACCCCACGUCUCAGAAGGAAAAACGUAGAAGUCAAAGCCAUCCAGCUAUUCACCCCAGAGAGCACCGUUGGUUGUAGGCUACGCUGGCUCCAGCUCCUACUCUCCACGGCACACGGGGUAUCUGAGCCCAAACCUAUGACCGAUGCUCUGGGCUGGAGCUGAAUUAAGCUCCUGGCCAUCCUGCUACCCUUAGUGGAUGGAUAGCAUGUUCUUGGGGCCUCUCGUGGAACGAAUGCCUACAUGGGGGUCUAAACGAUAACCCACACAGGGAGGAAAUGGGGAGCUGGCAACAGCAGCAGAGCAUCAGUUAGAUGCCUGGAGCAUGUGGGGCCUCCCUGGGGGAGGGGGUGAAGCGACCUCUAUUCUCUCCUGGAAAGGCCUGGCCACCACGUAAAACCAAAGCCUCGGACAACACGUGCUGCUGAGACAAAAAUCGGGUUCACUGAGGACGAAGGAGGUCCUGGGGCUCCCCCUUUCCCCCAGCCUCUCAUGAGGCCCAUCUUCGGCCCCUUCCAUCUUAAGCCCCUUCCAUCUUAAGCCUGUUUAUUGAAUUUUGCUAUAACAACAGCAAAAGCCACCCUUCACCCUUAAAUAGAAAGUGAUUUCUCAGCAGCCUCAGGCUGAGUUCUUUUCUCCAACACAUCCUUAAUAAAACGUGUGCUGCAGCCA
This 1181-nucleotide long non-coding RNA is filed under the name Sus scrofa (pig). RNAcentral's name for it is "lncRNA (ENSSSCG00070027856.1)". The record is from RNAcentral. Lineage: Eukaryota; Metazoa; Chordata; Mammalia; Artiodactyla; Suidae.